UGGGGAAUAUUGGACAAUGGGCGAAAGCCUGAUCCAGCCAUGCCGCGUGUGUGAAGAAGGUCUUCGGAUUGUAAAGCACUUUAAGUUGGGAGGAAAGGCAUUAACCUAAUACGUUAGUGUUUUGACGUUACCGACAGAAUGAGCACCGGCUAACUCUGUGCCAGCAGCCGCGGUAAUACAGAGGGUGCAAGCGUUAAUCGGAAUUACUGGGCGUAAAGCGCGCGUAGGUGGUUUGUUAAGUUGGAUGUGAAAUCCCCGGGCUCAACCUGGGAACUGCAUUCAAAACUGACUGACUAGAGUAUGGUAGAGGGUGGUGGAAUUUCCUGUGUAGCGGUGAAAUGCGUAGAUAUAGGAAGGAACACCAGUGGCGAAGGCGACCACCUGGACUAAUACUGACACUGAGGUGCGAAAGCGUGGGGAGCAAACA
Molecule: ribosomal RNA, 427 nt
Filed under: uncultured bacterium
Lineage: Bacteria
Description: partial 16S ribosomal RNA
Rfam family: Bacterial small subunit ribosomal RNA
Source: RNAcentral